CUUGCUACUUAUGCCGGCGACCGGCGGACGGGUGCGUAACGCGUAUGUAACCUACCUUUGACAGGGGGAUAACAUCGAGAAAUUGGUACUAAUACCCCAUAACAUCACCGGAGGCAUCUUCGGUGGUUGAAAACUCCGGUGGUAAUGGAUGGGCAUGCGUUGUAUUAGUUAGUUGGUGGGGUAACGGCUCACCAAGACAACGAUACAUAGGGGGACUGAGACGGUUAACCCCCACAUUGGUACUGAGACACGGACCAAACUCCUACGGAAGGCAGCAG
Molecule: ribosomal RNA, 278 nt
Filed under: uncultured bacterium
Lineage: Bacteria
Description: partial 16S ribosomal RNA
Rfam family: Bacterial small subunit ribosomal RNA
Source: RNAcentral